RNAcentral lists this small RNA (125 nucleotides) under Marmota monax (woodchuck). Lineage: Eukaryota; Metazoa; Chordata; Mammalia; Rodentia; Sciuridae. The record is from RNAcentral.
GCCGGGCAUGGUGGUGCAUGCCUGUAAUCCCAGCAACUCAGAAGGCUGAGGCAGGAGGAUCACGAGUUCAAAGCCAGCCUCAGCAAUGUCAAGACACUAAGCAACUCAGUGAGACUCUAUCUCUA